This 301-nucleotide ribosomal RNA is filed under the name uncultured bacterium. RNAcentral describes it as "partial 16S ribosomal RNA". It matches the Rfam family "Bacterial small subunit ribosomal RNA", at positions 509 to 807 of the family's 1533-position model. The record is from RNAcentral.
CAGUAGCCGCGGUAAUACGGAGGGUGCAAGCGUUAAUCGGAAUUACUGGGCGUAAAGCGCACGCAGGCGGUCUGACAAGUCAGAUGUGAAAUCCCCGGGCUUAACCUGGGAACUGCAUUUGAAACUGUCAGGCUGGAGUCUUGUAGAGGGGGGUGGAAUUCCAGGUGUAGCGGUGAAAUGCGUAGAGAUCUGGAGGAAUACCGGUGGCGAAGGCGGCCCCCUGGACAAAGACUGACGCUCAGGUGCGAAAGCGUGGGGAGCAAACAGGAUUAGAUACCCGUGUAGUCCCUGUCUCUUAUAC